GAUGAACGCUGACAGAAUGCUUAACACAUGCAAGUCAACUUGAACUUCGGUUUGGGUGGCGGACGGUGAGUAACGCGUAAAGAACUUGCCUCACAGAUAGGGACAACAUUUGGAAACGAAUGCUAAUACCUGAUAUUAUGAUUAUAUGGCAUCGUAUAAUUAUGAAAGCUAUAUGCGCUGUGAGAGAGCUUUGCGUCCCAUUAGCUAGUUGGAGAGGUAACGGCUCACCAAGGCGAUGAUGGGUAGCCGGCCUGAGAGGGUGAUCGGCCACAAGGGGACUGAGACACGGCCCUUACUCCUACGGGAGGCAGCAGUGGGGAAUAUUGGACAAUGGACCAAGAGUCUGAUCCAGCAAUUCUGUGUGCACGAUGAAGUUUUUCGGAAUGUAAAGUGCUUUCAGUUGGGAAGAAAAAGAUGACGGUACCAACAGAAGAAGUGACGGCUAAAUACGUG
Molecule: ribosomal RNA, 453 nt
Filed under: uncultured bacterium
Lineage: Bacteria
Description: partial 16S ribosomal RNA
Rfam family: Bacterial small subunit ribosomal RNA
Source: RNAcentral